Molecule: transfer RNA, 58 nt
Filed under: Lactobacillus amylovorus
Lineage: Bacteria; Bacillati; Bacillota; Bacilli; Lactobacillales; Lactobacillaceae
Also listed under: 4 other names
Description: tRNA-Asn
Rfam family: tRNA
About the family: Transfer RNA (tRNA) molecules are approximately 80 nucleotides in length. Their secondary structure includes four short double-helical elements and three loops (D, anti-codon, and T loops).
Source: RNAcentral
AGCUCAGUUGGUAGAGCGCUUGACUGUUAAUCAAGAUGUCGUCAGUUCGAGUCUGACA